RNAcentral lists this ribosomal RNA (778 nucleotides) under Veillonella dispar. Its description in RNAcentral is "bacterial SSU rRNA". It matches the Rfam family "Bacterial small subunit ribosomal RNA", at positions 28 to 776 of the family's 1533-position model. The record is from RNAcentral. Lineage: Bacteria; Bacillati; Bacillota; Negativicutes; Veillonellales; Veillonellaceae.
GACGAACGCUGGCGGCGUGCUUAACACAUGCAAGUCGAACGAAGAGCGACGGAAGCUUACUUCUAUCAAUCUUAGUGGCGAACGGGUGAGUAACGCGUAAUCAACCUGCCCUUCAGAGGGGGACAACAGUUGGAAACGACUGCUAAUACCGCAUACGAUCUAAUCUCGGCAUCGAGGAUAGAUGAAAGGUGGCCUCUACAUGUAAGCUAUCACUGAAGGAGGGGAUUGCGUCUGAUUAGCUAGUUGGAGGGGUAACGGCCCACCAAGGCGAUGAUCAGUAGCCGGUCUGAGAGGAUGAACGGCCACAUUGGGACUGAGACACGGCCCAGACCCCUACGGGAGGCAGCAGUGGGGAAUCUUCCGCAAUGGACGAAAGUCUGACGGAGCAACGCCGCGUGAGUGAUGACGGCCUUCGGGUUGUAAAGCUCUGUUAAUCGGGACGAAAGGCCUUCUUGCGAAUAGUUAGAAGGAUUGACGGUACCGGAAUAGAAAGCCACGGCUAACUACGUGCCAGCAGCCGCGGUAAUACGUAGGUGGCAAGCGUUGUCCGGAAUUAUUGGGCGUAAAGCGCGCGCAGGCGGAUCAGUCAGUCUGUCUUAAAAGUUCGGGGCUUAACCCCGUGAUGGGAUGGAAACUGCUGAUCUAGAGUAUCGGAGAGGAAAGUGGAAUUCCUAGUGUAGCGGUGAAAUGCGUAGAUAUUAGGAAGAACACCAGUGGCGAAGGCGACUUUCUGGACGAAAACUGACGCUGAGGCGCGAAAGCCAGGGGAGCGAACGGG